RNAcentral lists this ribosomal RNA (818 nucleotides) under Bacillus subtilis. Its description in RNAcentral is "bacterial SSU rRNA". It matches the Rfam family "Bacterial small subunit ribosomal RNA", at positions 62 to 863 of the family's 1533-position model. The record is from RNAcentral. Lineage: Bacteria; Bacillati; Bacillota; Bacilli; Caryophanales; Bacillaceae.
UCGAGCGGACAGAAGGGAGCUUGCUCCCGGAUGUUAGCGGCGGACGGGUGAGUAACACGUGGGUAACCUGCCUGUAAGACUGGGAUAACUCCGGGAAACCGGAGCUAAUACCGGAUAGUUCCUUGAACCGCAUGGUUCAAGGAUGAAAGACGGUUUCGGCUGUCACUUACAGAUGGACCCGCGGCGCAUUAGCUAGUUGGUGAGGUAACGGCUCACCAAGGCGACGAUGCGUAGCCGACCUGAGAGGGUGAUCGGCCACACUGGGACUGAGACACGGCCCAGACUCCUACGGGAGGCAGCAGUAGGGAAUCUUCCGCAAUGGACGAAAGUCUGACGGAGCAACGCCGCGUGAGUGAUGAAGGUUUUCGGAUCGUAAAGCUCUGUUGUUAGGGAAGAACAAGUGCAAGAGUAACUGCUUGCACCUUGACGGUACCUAACCAGAAAGCCACGGCUAACUACGUGCCAGCAGCCGCGGUAAUACGUAGGUGGCAAGCGUUGUCCGGAAUUAUUGGGCGUAAAGGGCUCGCAGGCGGUUUCUUAAGUCUGAUGUGAAAGCCCCCGGCUCAACCGGGGAGGGUCAUUGGAAACUGGGAAACUUGAGUGCAGAAGAGGAGAGUGGAAUUCCACGUGUAGCGGUGAAAUGCGUAGAGAUGUGGAGGAACACCAGUGGCGAAGGCGACUCUCUGGUCUGUAACUGACGCUGAGGAGCGAAAGCGUGGGGAGCGAACAGGAUUAGAUACCCUGGUAGUCCACGCCGUAACGAUGAGUGCUAAGUGUUAGGGGGUUUCCGCCCCUUAGUGCUGCAGCUAACGCAUUAA